UACGUAGGUGGCAAGCGUUGUCCGGAAUUAUUGGGCGUAAAGCGCGCGCAGGCGGUCCUUUAAGUCUGAUGUGAAAGCCCACGGCUCAACCGUGGAGGGUCAUUGGAAACUGGGGGACUUGAGUACAGAAGAGGAAAGCGGAAUUCCAUGUGUAGCGGUGAAAUGCGUAGAGAUGUGGAGGAACAACAGUGGCGAAGGCGGCUUUCUGGUCUGUAACUGACGCUGAGGCGCGAAAGCGUGGGGAGCAAACAGG
This 253-nucleotide ribosomal RNA is filed under the name uncultured bacterium. RNAcentral's name for it is "partial 16S ribosomal RNA". It matches the Rfam family "Bacterial small subunit ribosomal RNA", at positions 524 to 776 of the family's 1533-position model. The record is from RNAcentral.